This 979-nucleotide ribosomal RNA is filed under the name Enterococcus faecium. Its description in RNAcentral is "partial 23S ribosomal RNA". It matches the Rfam family "Bacterial large subunit ribosomal RNA", at positions 153 to 1133 of the family's 2925-position model. The record is from RNAcentral. Lineage: Bacteria; Bacillati; Bacillota; Bacilli; Lactobacillales; Enterococcaceae.
AUUGUGUGAAUACAUAGCACAUUCGAGGUAGACGCAGAGAACUGAAACAUCUAAGUACCUGCAGGAAGAGAAAGAAAAUUCGAUUCCCUGAGUAGCGGCGAGCGAAACGGGAAAAGCCCAAACCAGCAAGCUUGCUUGUUGGGGUUGUAGGACUCCAAUAUGGUAGUUCUUUCAGAUAGUCGAAUGACUUGGAAAAGUCAGUCAAAGAGGGUAAAAACCCCGUAGACGAAAUGUGGAAGACACCUAGGAGGAUCCUGAGUACGGCGGAACACGAGAAAUUCCGUCGGAAUCCGGGAGGACCAUCUCCCAAGGCUAAAUACUCCCUAGUGACCGAUAGUGAACCAGUACCGUGAGGGAAAGGUGAAAAGCACCCCGGAAGGGGAGUGAAAUAGAACCUGAAACCGUGUGCCUACAACAAGUCAAAGCCCGUUAAUGGGUGAUGGCGUGCCUUUUGUAGAAUGAACCGGCGAGUUACGAUUGCAUGCGAGGUUAAGUUGAAGAGACGGAGCCGCAGCGAAAGCGAGUCUGAAUAGGGCGUUUGAGUAUGUAGUCGUAGACCCGAAACCAUGUGAUCUACCCAUGUCCAGGUUGAAGGUGCGGUAAAACGCACUGGAGGACCGAACCCACGUACGUUGAAAAGUGCGGGGAUGAGGUGUGGGUAGCGGAGAAAUUCCAAACGAACUUGGAGAUAGCUGGUUCUCUCCGAAAUAGCUUUAGGGCUAGCCUCGGAAUUGAGAAUGAUGGAGGUAGAGCACUGUUUGGACUAGGGGCCCAUCUCGGGUUACCGAAUUCAGAUAAACUCCGAAUGCCAUUCAUUCAUAUCCGGGAGUCAGACUGUGAGUGAUAAGAUCCAUAGUCGAAAGGGAAACAGCCCAGACCACCAGCUAAGGUCCCAAAAUAUAUGUUAAGUGGAAAAGGAUGUGGGGUUGCACAGACAACUAGGAUGUUGGCUUAGAAGCAGCCACCAUUUAAAGAGUGC